This 160-nucleotide ribosomal RNA is filed under the name Goetzea elegans. RNAcentral describes it as "5.8S ribosomal RNA". The stretch from base 1 to 138 matches the Rfam family "5.8S ribosomal RNA", at positions 19 to 154 of the family's 154-position model. From Rfam's summary of the family: 5.8S ribosomal RNA (5.8S rRNA) is a component of the large subunit of the eukaryotic ribosome. It is transcribed by RNA polymerase I as part of the 45S precursor that also contains 18S and 28S rRNA. The record is from RNAcentral. Lineage: Eukaryota; Viridiplantae; Streptophyta; Magnoliopsida; Solanales; Solanaceae.
UCUCGGCUCUCGCAUCGAUGAAGAACGUAGCGAAAUGCGAUACUUGGUGUGAAUUGCAGAAUCCCGUGAACCAUCGAGUCUUUGAACGCAAGUUGCGCCCGAAGCCGUUAGGCCGAGGGCACGUCUGCCUGGGCGUCACGCAUCGCGUCGCCCCUCGCAC